GCAGUCGAGCGACAGAUAAGGAGCUUGCUCCUUUGACGUUAGCGGCGGACGGGUGAGUAACACGUGGAUAACCUACCUAUAAGACUGGGAUAACUUCGGGAAACCGGAGCUAAUACCGGAUAAGAUUUUGAACCGCAUGGUUCAAUAGUGAAAGACGGCCUUGCUGUCACUUAUAGAUGGAUCCGCGCCGUAUUAGCUAGUUGGUAAGGUAACGGCUUACCAAGGCAACGAUACGUAGCCGACCUGAGAGGGUGAUCGGCCACACUGGAACUGAGACACGGUCCAGACUCCUACGGGAGGCAGCAGUAGGGAAUCUUCCGCAAUGGGCGAAAGCCUGACGGAGCAACGCCGCGUGAGUGAUGAAGGUCUUCGGAUCGUAAAACUCUGUUAUCAGGGAAGAACAAACGUGUAAGUAACUGUGCACGUCUUGACGGUACCUGAUCAGAAAGCCACGGCUAACUACGUGCCAGCAGCCGCGGUAAUACGUAGGUGGCAAGCGUUAUCCGGAAUUAUUGGGCGUAAAGCGCGCGUAGGCGGUUUUUUAAGUCUGAUGUGAAAGCCCACGGCUCAACCGUGGAGGGUCAUUGGAAACUGGAAAACUUGAGUGCANNNNAGGAAAGUGGNAUUCCAUGUGUAGCGNUGAAAUGCGCNNAGAUAUGGAGGAACACCAGUGGCG
RNAcentral lists this ribosomal RNA (676 nucleotides) under Staphylococcus sp. Its description in RNAcentral is "bacterial SSU rRNA". It matches the Rfam family "Bacterial small subunit ribosomal RNA", at positions 57 to 717 of the family's 1533-position model. Lineage: Bacteria; Bacillati; Bacillota; Bacilli; Caryophanales; Staphylococcaceae. The record is from RNAcentral.